UGGGGAAUUUUGGACAAUGGGCGAAAGCCUGAUGCAGCAACGCCGCGUGAGGGACGACGGCCUUCGGGUUGUAAACCUCUUUUAGUAGGGAAGAAGCGAAAAGUGACGGUACCUGCAGAAAAAGCACCGGCUAACUACGUGCCAGCAGCCGCGGUAAUACGUAGGGUGCGAGCGUUGUCCGGAAUUAUUGGGCGUAAAGAGCUCGUAGGCGGUCUGUCGCGUCUGCUGUGAAAACCCGAGGCUCAACCUCGGGCCUGCAGUGGGUACGGGCAGACUAGAGUGCGGUAGGGGAGAAUGGAAUUCCUGGUGUAGCGGUGGAAUGCGCAGAUAUCAGGAGGAACACCGAUGGCGAAGGCAGUUCUCUGGGCCGUAACUGACGCUGAGGAGCGAAAGCGUGGGGAGCGAACAGGAUUAGAUACCCUGGUAGUCCACGCCGUAAACGUUGGGCGCUAGAUGUGGGGACCAUUCCACGGUUUCCGUGUCGCAGCUAACGCAUUAAGCGCCCCGCCUGGGGAGUACGGCCGCAAGGCUAAAA
Molecule: ribosomal RNA, 535 nt
Filed under: uncultured bacterium
Lineage: Bacteria
Description: partial 16S ribosomal RNA
Rfam family: Bacterial small subunit ribosomal RNA
Source: RNAcentral